Molecule: ribosomal RNA, 794 nt
Filed under: uncultured organism
Description: bacterial SSU rRNA
Rfam family: Bacterial small subunit ribosomal RNA
Source: RNAcentral
UACACGGCUAGAGUAUUGGAGAGGUGAGUGGAAUUCCAGGUGUAACGGUGAAAUGCGUAGAUAUCUGGAGGAACACCAACGGCGAAGGCAGCUCACUGGACAAUGACUGACGCUGAGGGACCGAAAGCGUGGGGAGCGAAAGGGAUUAGAUACCCCUGUAGUCCACGCCGUAAACUUUGUGCACUCGCUAUUGGCGGAUUCGACCCCGUCAGUGGCCAAGCUAACGCGAUAAGUGCACCGCCUGAGGACUACGGCCGCAAGGCUAAAACUCAAAGGAAUUGACGGGUCCCCGCACAAGCGGUGGAGCAUGUGGCUUAAUUCGAUGCAACGCGAAGAACCUUACCAGGUCUUGACAUGUAGCGGACCGGGGCAGAGAUGCCCCUUCUCUUCGGAGCCGCUUCACAGGUGCUGCAUGGCUGUCGUCAGCUCGUGUCGUGAGAUGUUCGGUUAAGUCCGUCAACGAGCGCAACCCCUGUCCUUAGUUGCCAGCAUUCAGUUGGGGACUCUAAGGAGACAAUCCCGCUUUUGCGGGAGGGAAGGUGGGGAUGAUGUCAAGUCAGUAUGGCCCUUACGGCCUGGGCUGCACACGUGCUACAAUGCCCGGUACAAUAGGUCGCUACUCCGCGAGGAGAUGCUAAUCCAGAAAGCCGGGCCCAGUUCGGAUUGGAGUCUGCAACUCGACUCCAUGAAGUCGGAAUCGCUAGUAAUGGCGCAUCAGCAAUGGCGCCGUGAAUACGUUCCCGGGGAUGUACACACCGCCCGUCACAUCAUGAAAGCCGGUUUCGCCCGAAGUA